RNAcentral lists this ribosomal RNA (389 nucleotides) under Biecheleria sp. RNAcentral's name for it is "partial small subunit ribosomal RNA". It matches the Rfam family "Eukaryotic small subunit ribosomal RNA", at positions 582 to 975 of the family's 1831-position model. Lineage: Eukaryota; Dinophyceae; Suessiales; Biecheleriaceae. The record is from RNAcentral.
AUUCCAGCUCCAAUAGCGUAUAUUAAAGUUGUUGCGGUUAAAAAGCUCGUAGUUGGAUUUCUGCCGAGGAUGACCGGUCCGCCCUGUGGGUGUGCAUCUGGCUCAGCCUUGGCAUCUUCCUGAAGAACGUAGCUGCACUUGACUGUGUGGUGCGGUAUUUAGGACAUUUACUUUGAGGAAAUUAGAGUGUUUCAAGCAAGCGCACGCUUUGAAUACAUUAGCAUGGAAUAAUAAGAUAGGACCUCGGUUCUAUUUUGUUGGUUUCUAGAGCUGAGGUAAUGAUUGAUAGGGAUAGUUGGGGGUGCUAGUAUUUUGCGGCCAGAGGUGAAAUUCUGUGAUUCGCGAAAGACUAACUUAUGCGAAAGCAUUCACCAAGGGUGUCUUCAUCA